UAUCAGUGGUAUCAGUAACUUUGACUCUGGCGAUGUUGUUGGUGGCAGAGUAUUUCAGAAACUGCUGAUCAUCUGGGAUUUUCACCCACGCAGAAUGGUGCGAAAAACAACAAAAAUAAAAAACAUCCAGUGAGCGGCAGCUCCGCAGGUGGAAGUGCCUUGUUGAUUAGAGAUGGCAGUGGAGAACGGUCAGAGCUGACAGGAAGUCUAUAGUAGCUUAAAUAGCCACACUUUACAGCUGUGGUGAGCAGAAAAGAAUCUCAGAGCCUUGAGGUGUGAGGUGAGCGACAACAGCAGAAGACCUACAUCAGGUUCGCACUCCUGUCAACCAAGAACAGGAAAUCUCAGGCUCGCUCACCAAAAGUACAGUACAGGAGCAAGAACCCCACCUAGUGGAACUGAAUGUGAAGCUUCUACUAGGAUCAACCUUCAGAUGUAUUCAAUAUUCAAGUCGUCUUCGAAUGGUGGAUUGUGAUACCUUCACCCCUGCCCUGUGGAGGUUGUUGUCUCCUCUUCGGCGUAGCUCAGGAUCAGAUCCCGCUGCCUCCGGCUCAACUUCCUUCCAGGGGAAACCCAGGAAGAAGAAAAAAAAAACGAAAAUACACGCUAUUUUCGUUUUCAAGCAUUCAGGAGUAAACUAAAGAAAACUAAUAUACUUUCAAUCUUUUAGGAUGUCACAUGUUUAGGUUGGAUGUGAUGUGAAUUUGAUUGUGAAUGUGUGUGUGUGCAUGAGUGUAGAAAUGUCUUACUUGGGCA
This is a long non-coding RNA of Ictalurus furcatus (blue catfish), 756 nucleotides long. RefSeq lists it as uncharacterized. The record is from RefSeq and is a predicted model, not a curated record. The transcript is spliced from 3 exons. Lineage: Eukaryota; Metazoa; Chordata; Actinopteri; Siluriformes; Ictaluridae.